RNAcentral lists this long non-coding RNA (277 nucleotides) under Gallus gallus (chicken). The record is from RNAcentral. Lineage: Eukaryota; Metazoa; Chordata; Aves; Galliformes; Phasianidae.
GGCCAACAUGCACUGGCGAAUCCGUAGCUGUAUCUCCACUGGUGUAACUUAAGGAAUGAUAUGGAUGUAUACCCUUUAUUUUCAGAACAGAAUCACUGUGAGUGUGAGUCUUGGACAGUUUCCUCAUGAUCUCAGCACCAGUAACAGGCCCAGAAGAGCCACUAGUAGGUGGAGGGCGAUUAGCUGUUCCUUCCAAGAGCAUUGUAUGCUCACUGACAGUAGCUGCAUCAAAUUCAAACUCUGCUCCAUCAGCACUUGUGUCACUCUGAAGACCCCC